Globicephala melas (long-finned pilot whale) is the source of this 2705-nucleotide long non-coding RNA. RefSeq lists it as uncharacterized. Lineage: Eukaryota; Metazoa; Chordata; Mammalia; Artiodactyla; Delphinidae. The record is from RefSeq and is a predicted model, not a curated record.
UUCCUGCACGGCGCUGAGCCUCAGGCAUCCCCGCCUCCGCCCCGCCCACACGGGCCACGGGGCUCCGCCCAGGCCACGCCCCCGCUCCGGAGCCGGUUUAAAUCCCGCCGGUAAAUAACCGAUGGGUCGACUGGACUGGCGGUCUUCGCGCCUAACCGAACCGAUUUCUUGCCAAAGGUCACAGAAGAGAAUUUUGUACUAGGACAGCUGGAGAAGUGCUUCCGUUUAGAGGUAACAAGCAGUUGGGGGACCAGCAGAGAUACUCACGUUUCACUUUUCAGGGCUGGAUCAGGCCAACCCUUGCUUCUCCAAGAGUGGUUACCAACAGGCAGUAUGGGCCUCACGCUGGAGGGAGCUGAGCUUGCUGGAAAUGCAGGAUCUCAGACGCCACCCCUGAUUGGCUGAACGAGGAUCUGCAGUUUAACAAGAUCACCAGGAGAUUCUGAUAAAAGCCAGCAUGUCCUCUAGUGAGACUGACAAUUUUGUGAGCACAGAGCCGGGAAAAGGCAGCAAACCAAAGUGAACAGUCAGCUAAGUAGAGUUUGCUGGAGAUUUACGCAGAAACCUACCCACAGAAGCAGGGCUGAUGGAUUUAUAACAGGGGCGGGAUAAUUUGUUCUUGUGUGCGAAGAUAAGGGUAAACAUAUUUCAUGCUGUGAUGUAAGCCCCUAUCUGCAGAAGUCAGGAGAGAUUCCCUGCCCUGUUGCUGAAUCGUGUGCUUGACAAAUUAUCCUCAGAAGCUUAUUUUAUCUGGAGGUGUCACUGGGGCCCAAAUGUGAAAGGUGGAAGGACAUGCCUGGGGGCAGAGGAGGGGGACUCUUCUGUCCCUGCACAUCUGGAAGCUCAGAAAUGAAAGUGGCACGGGUCUAUAGUAUUUGGAAAAUCCUGGAGAGGAGCUGGGAUGGAAGCGAGUAACUGUGUGAUCCCUGGGCCUGAUUGAGGAAAUAUGCCAGGAAACAUGUGUUCCCAUUUCAGCCCAUCUUGGCCUUGGUCCAGCAGUCGUACCCACCCUAGACCUGCCUCUGCCCUUUAUUUUGUCAACAGCAGGUAGAUAAAGUGCUCUCAGUUUCCAGAGCUUCUCAUCACACUUCCUGGGAAGGAAGCCCUUACUGAGCUCUAGGAACUGGCUGGCUGUCUCCACCACACCUCUAGAGGACAAAGGCGGAGUCUUGAUAAUCUUUGUAUCCCUUAUGUGUAAAUUUUCUAUAUGUGCUAAAAAUGUUUACAGAAAUAAGAAAGAAAGCUGGAGCUCUGAGAGUGAACCUCUUUAAGAAAUACAGGAAUGUAACUUAAAUUUUGCAAAAUUAUCAUUAUCCUAUAAUAUUUACUAUUUGGUGUUCUGCCAUUUUAAAAAUAAUUCUAAUUAAUCUGUAAGUAAUUAUUAUUAUCCCACUUUACAGAUAUUGAAACUGAGGGUCCAGAGCCAAGAAAACACAGAUCUCAUGUAAUGAAGCCAGGACUCAAACCUACUACUGUUAGAUGUCCAACCCCACUUUGUCCAAGCUGAUGCUAGACUCAUGAUCCCAGGCCCUCCAUGUUCCUUUGGGGACUUCCCUGAGCCUAGGCCUGGGCCCCAUGUUUCCCAUUUGUAAAACUGGGGGAGGGAUGGACUAGGAUCCCACAGGCUGCUUGUCAGUGGGUGUCAGAAGUGCAGGAGAAGAAGGUGAGCAGCCCGGGACGCUGGGCUUUAAGGCUUGAGCAAUGUCAAGUGGGAGUCCCCAGUAAAUUGAGAUGUUGCCACACAGACUUGGGCAUGAGAAAAACUAACAGAGAGCCAGUCACUAUCACAAGGGCUUCAAGGGGCAAAUUCAACCCAGGUAUCAGAAGUCCAGUCUAAGACUGAUGAGUGACCAGGCUGGCGGGAGAGAAAACAGGUUGAUCCCCAAAGAUGUGUGUGGCCACAGUUGUGUGGAGAGUAAGGCCAGACACACAUGCACGCACAUAUGCACACCCACACAUGGAUACAGCCAUCAAGAGAGCAUCUGUGUGCAGCCAGAGAUACAAGAGACAGGAUAAGAUUCUUUUAUGUUGCAGGUAACAUCGCCCCGACUCUCAGGCUUCCCCUACGUAGGACUUGGCAGGUGAUUAAAGUCUCUUAUUAGUCUUAUUCGUCAUACUUUCCAUAUUCCUGGUGCAGACAGGAUGUAUAAUAUAUUACAUUUUAUGGAAAACAAAGGAUGAGAUAGGUAAUAUAUAUACAUAUUCAUGUUUUUUUCCCAUGAUUUUUCCACAUAUAGACUAUUUCUGUAAGUUUACCCGAAAAGCUUAUAAGCAUGGUUGCCUCUGAGUAGGGAUCUAAGGACCAGAGUUGGGAAAGAGAGUAACUUUGCAUUACAUUCCCUUUUAUAAUAUUUGAACCUUUUAAUCAUAGAUAUGGAUUCCUUAUUCAAAACAAUAAACUGUUAAAAAAUACACACACACACAAAAACAAUGUUCCCGUGUCUGUCUUAUACUCCGAUGUUUCUGAAUUGGUUCCUGUGAGUGAAUGAUUGUUUCUGAAUGUGAUUAAUUCUGAGAGUAUUUAUCAUACGGUUGGAGGCUGUUUAUGGUUCAAUGGAGAAGAGAGGAUUGAUGGAAGACCCUUGGAGGUGAAGAGGAUGGAAACGCCCUAGAGGAGGGAAAUUCCUCCAGCCCCAGCCAGGAAAGGCCAUAUUAACCACCAGGGAGUGAUGAGUGUCAGUAAUUCCAGUAAAUCAGUUAAGAAA